UGCAAUUAAGUUACCAACUACUAAGCUCAAAUGCUUUCACUAUGCAAAUGCCUUGUAUCACCACAAAUGUCUUGCACCGCCUUUCUCUUCCACAAACCACACCACACAUACAACGUGACCAUCAUCAAUGUCAAGAUAACUUCACACUAAAACAUUGUAUCACCAUGACACAACUUCAAAAGCCAAACUCUCACACAAACAAAGAACAACUCAACAAUGACGAAAUGAUUAUUAAACCAUUAUGAUAGUUGCAUAGUUUAAUAAAUGAAGAAUAAACAGGUCCAAUGGGAGGUGUAGGAUGAUAUCGGUGAGGUUCAAGAAGAACCUCUCUUUGUUGAAAGGUUCUCCCUGCACCUCAUCUAUAUCAGGCUGCACAUUCAGCUUUUAUGAAUUUUCCUCAGAAUUUGUACAGAUUUUGUAGAAAAAAUCUUUAACUCUUUCCCUCUUUAAUACAAUCAUUCCCAAAUAAACCCUACACCACCCUUCCUUCCUCUCAUUUUGGUUGCCGCAUUUCAGAGAGUUUCUUUCUAUACUUCAAAGCUCUACGCAUUUCAUUCUCGCCUCGACUCCCAUUUGCACCCUCCUCAGAGAGCUUUAUUGUCCUCAAUGCUUCCACUCCGAAUUCUUCUUCAAGAUACUUCAUGAAGUACACUUUCAGCGCCAAACUAAUAAUUAUAAAAUAUGUCAAAUACUACAUUUGAAAAUAAAAACAUGUUCUUAAAGAAUCAUAAACUUUCAAAACAUGAUUAUCUCCCG
Molecule: long non-coding RNA, 756 nt
Filed under: Vigna radiata
Lineage: Eukaryota; Viridiplantae; Streptophyta; Magnoliopsida; Fabales; Fabaceae
Description: long non-coding RNA (VRAD_LNC009507)
Source: RNAcentral